AUUGAACGCUGGCGGCAGGCCUAACACAUGCAAGUCGAGCGGAUGAGGGAAGCUUGCUUCCCGAUUUAGCGGCGGACGGGUGAGUAAUGCCUAGGAAUCUGCCUAUUAGUGGGGGAUAACGUUCCGAAAGGAACGCUAAUACCGCAUACGUCCUACGGGAGAAAGUGGGGGAUCUUCGGACCUCACGCUAAUAGAUGAGCCUAGGUCGGAUUAGCUAGUUGGUGGGGUAACGGCUCACCAAGGCGACGAUCCGUAGCUGGUCUGAGAGGAUGAUCAGCCACACUGGAACUGAGACACGGUCCAGACUCCUACGGGAGGCAGCAGUGGGGAAUAUUGGACAAUGGGCGAAAGCCUGAUCCAGCCAUGCCGCGUGUGUGAAGAAGGUCUUCGGAUUGUAAAGCACUUUAAGUUGGGAGGAAGGGUUGUAAGCUAAUAUCUUGCAGCUUUGACGUUACCAACAGAAUAAGCACCGGCUAACUCUGUGCCAGCCGCCGCCGUAA
Molecule: ribosomal RNA, 500 nt
Filed under: uncultured bacterium
Lineage: Bacteria
Description: partial 16S ribosomal RNA
Rfam family: Bacterial small subunit ribosomal RNA
Source: RNAcentral